GACGAACGCUGGCGGCGUGCUUAACACAUGCAAGUCGAACGGAAAGGCCCUGCUUGCCGGGUGCUCGAGUGGCGAACGGGUGAGUAACACGUGGGUGAUCUGCCCCUUACUUUGGGAUAAGCCUGGGAAACUGGGUCUAAUACUGGAUAGGACCAUGCUGUAGGUGGUGUGGUGGAAAGAUUAGUUUCGGUAAGGGAUGAGCUCGCGGCCUAUCAGCUUGUCGGUGGGGUAAUGGCCUACCAAGGCGUCGACGGGUAGCCGGCCUGAGAGGGUGGACGGCCACAUUGGGACUGAGAUACGGCCCAGACUCCUACGGGAGGCAGCAGUGGGGAAUAUUGCACAAUGGGCGCAAGCCUGAUGCAGCGACGCCGCGUGGGGGAUGACGGCCUUCGGGUUGUAAACUCCUUUCAGCCAUGACGAAGCCCUUGUGGUGACGGUAGUGGUAGAAGAAGCACCGGCUAACUACGUG
This 469-nucleotide ribosomal RNA is filed under the name uncultured bacterium. Its description in RNAcentral is "partial 16S ribosomal RNA". It matches the Rfam family "Bacterial small subunit ribosomal RNA", at positions 28 to 507 of the family's 1533-position model. The record is from RNAcentral.